This 1167-nucleotide ribosomal RNA is filed under the name Mesocestoides litteratus. RNAcentral describes it as "SSU rRNA". It matches the Rfam family "Eukaryotic small subunit ribosomal RNA", at positions 167 to 1148 of the family's 1831-position model. Lineage: Eukaryota; Metazoa; Platyhelminthes; Cestoda; Cyclophyllidea; Mesocestoididae. The record is from RNAcentral.
AUACUGCCUCGAUGCCCUGACCCUCACGGGGAUGGGUGCACUUAUAGAUCAGAAGCCAACCGUGUUCUGUCGUGGCAACAUGGCUGGACGCGUUGACCUUCUGGUGACUCUGGAUAAUUGUUACAGAUCGCAGUCGGCCUUGAGUCGGCGACGGGUCCUUCAAAUGUCUGCCCUAUCAACUUUCGAUGGUAGGUGACCUGCCUACCAUGGUGAUAACGGGUAACGGGGAAUCAGGGUUCGAUUCCGGAGAGGGAGCCUGAGAAACGGCUACCACUUCCAAGGGAGGCAGCAGGCGCGCAAAUUACCCACUCCCAGUACGGGGAGGUGGUGACGAAAAAUACCGAUGCGGGACUCCUUAAAGAGGCUCCGUAAUCGGAAUGAGUGGACUAUAAAUCCUUUCACGAGGAUCAAUUGGAGGGCAAGUCUGGUGCCAGCAGCCGCGGUAACUCCAGCUCCAAUAGCGUAUAUUAAAGUUGCUGCAGUUAAAAAGCUCGUAGUUGGAUCUCGGUAGCACUGUUGCCUGUUGGUCUUUGGGUGGAUGGUUGCCGUAGCUAGCGUCGUUGUCGUUGCGUGUUACUGCGGGAUGCGGCGUUGGCUGCGGCGGCAGCUGUGCAUUCCAAGCUAGCGGGGUAGCGGUGUGACCUGUAAGCCAUGUCUGUGGUGAAAGCCGCAGGUGUGAGCGAGUGUCGGGCGACGUCCUGCGGUAGUGGGGCUUGUCGGCUCGUUUGCAUGCCUUUGGAUGCCCUUAAAAAGGUGUCUGUGGGCGGAUGGCACGUUUACUUUGAACAAAUUUGAGUGCUCAAAUCAGGCCGAUGUUGCCUGAAAAGUUUUGCAUGGAAUAAUGGAAUAGGACUUCGGUUCUAUUUCGUUGGUUUUCGGAUCCGAAGUAAUGAUCAAAAGAGACAGGCGGGGGCGUUUGUAUGGCUGCGCUAGAGGUGAAAUUCAUGGACCGUAGCCAGACAAACUAAAGCGAAAGCAUUCGUCAAGCAUGUUUUCAUUGGCCAUGAGCGAAAGUCAGAGGCUCGAAGACAAUCAGAUACCGUCCUAGUUCUGACCAUAAACGAUGCCAACUGACGAUCCGUGGUGGUAGUCUGUCAACCUUCCCCACGGGCAAUCCCCGGGAAACUUUAGGCUUUGGUUCCGGGAAGUUGGUGCAACUUAACUAAA